AUGUUUUGUAUCAUUCUUUUACCUUUCUCUCUCACUCUGUAUGUGUGUGUGUGUGUGUGUGUGUGUGCGUGUGUGUGUGUAGAGGUGGAAUUCUGUGUGUUUGUUAUGGAUCUGUUGUUUUCAGGUUUUGAGUUGGUCUUCAUCAUCAUUGCUUUCACUAUUAUGUGCUUAUUUGGCCUGGCUGCUGUCUACACACACAAUAGAGAUCAUCAAGAUGACUUAAUUCAGACAGAAGAGAAGAUAAUGCAACAAAAGAGUAACUCAAAGAAAAAACAGCGAGGUGUCCCCAAAACCAACCAAGAGCUACCAUGAACACACGAACAAACAGAUUUCAUAUAAAUACAGAAUCCUUCUGUUGGUGCUCAUUGAAUUAAAAGGCAUGGCGCACCAAAUGCAGCUAAUCAGUGUGUGAAGGUCUCUGACACUGAAAAUGGACUUGCUGUCGAGCUCAUCUUUUAGUUGACCCUGAAGACCAGCUGUCUCCGAUUGGCUUGAAUGCAUGGCCCCAAUUAUUAACCAGUGAAGAAAGGCAAAGAGGAUUUAUUGAAAUUUAAACCCCUCCCCUUUCCCCACAUAAAUCUACUUAUCAUUUGUUAUUAUAAUGAUUUAAAGCCUGUAGCAUUUUUUCACACAGCUUAUGCUUUGGUGGAUAAACUGCUUCUAAAGUUUCUGGGUGGUGGUGGCCUUUGAUAAUAAAAAUAGGAAAAUAUAUUGCUGAAUGUAUAUUGUGCAAAUAUUUUAUAAAUACAGUAUAUUUAUAGUGAUGUUGUACUAUUUAUAUAAUGCAUUUCGUUUGUAUUUUAUUUAUUUUUCCACAAGUAUUUUUGGCAUUUUUUUAUAUUACAAAAUAGGAAUAUUGUCCAGUAUAUAUAUAUAUAUAUAUAUAUAUAUAUAUAUGAAUACAUUUUCUGCCAUAAUCUGUCCCUUUUGCUGUGCCCUAACACAAGGCAGUUAACACCAUUGUGCUGCAGGACAACUACCAUGUAAUUAAUCUUCUGUAACUCACUUUGCACAAAAAGAUCUGCUAAAUAAUUGCUAACUUUGGAUUAUGGCAUUAAGAUACACUCAUCUGGAUCUGGAUAAGAUUUUACAUUGUUUCAAAUUGUGUAUGGAAUGUGAGGUUACAUAGUGUCCUGUUUCAAGACCAUGUGCCCUGAAUGUUUAAGUGCUACUCAGCUGCAAGUCAGUUUCAAGUUUAACAGUUAGAAAGGGAAAAUAAAUCACAAGAUAUCAUUGUUCACUUACAUGAUUCACAUAUUUAAACUAUACUGUGUUAAGCUCCGUGCAUCUUCACUGAUAAAAUCUACAUUAUACAGAAAAGUAAGACUUCCAAUGUCAUUCCUGUUGUAAAUAUGAUAACAGAACAUGGGGCGCCCUCUAAUGGUGAUUAGCAAAAAAAAAAAAAAAAAAAAAAAACACCAAAUCGCCAAUCAUGCACACUAAUUCUCAAUAACUUUCUUACAAAUUCAUUCUCUCCUUACUUUUCCUCAACAGUGAUAUUCCUUCAUGCAGAGUAAUACGGGCAUGUACAUAAGAUUCAGUUACCAAUCUGAGAUAAAACUAAAGUGAAUUACAACCGAGAGAAGCAUCUUUUGUUGUUGUUGUCUGUUUUUGCAAUGUAUUUUAAAACAGAGGACUCUAUAGAUGUCUGCAUAUAUGCAGUAUAGCUGUAUAUGUAUAGAGGAAUCUACAUGGCUGGAAGUUGGAGGAAGGGGAGCAUGAUGGGGGAGUAGUUUGGGUAUGUGCUUCCUGGCAGUAACUUCUUGGAGUUGUAAACUGGAAGGGUGGUAUUGUCUCAGUGUUUGUGUGUGUGUGUGUGUUUGUGUUGAAAAGGGAGGGUAGUGAUCUAGUUGUGGAGGAAGAAAGGUUAUAGGGAAUGCCAUUCUUAUCUGCUAUUGCAACAGUCAACAAAGCUACACACUGAUAACACUUCCUGUUACACUGAACCAAUUUUAUAUAUAUGCACUUGGCAGCAACAAUCACACUCUCAUUUUGAACUCAACACUGGGCUUAAAAACAUAUGGCAAAAAAUACAAAAAAAAUAAAAAAAUAUUCAGGUAAAGAAUCUGGACUACUUUUUAAAUAUUUUGAGUAAUCUACUAAUAUAAUACAAUUAAAAACAGAAUUAGACACAUUCACACCACACAAAAAUCAUUAUUACUAAUGACUAAUUAUAACUAAUUAUUGUAGUGUGUGUGCGCGUGUGUGCAUGUGUGUUUCCACUUUCAGGAGACAAGUACCGCAACUCCUUUUUAGCCCUUUUAGCAAUUUUCAGUUUUGUAAUAAAACUUGUAUCUUGACAGAAUGUUUUUUCUUUUAAAAUAAAUGAAAUAAAAUAUAUUUUUUGUGGGAGGCUGUCUAUAUCUACUGAUUGACACAUCAUGUGCUCUUACUCCUAAAAGAUGGACUCGACCUCUGGCUGCUGGGAUGAGGAGGUUUUAAGGUCAGUGUGUGUCUGCCUCUGUGUGUGUGUGUGUGUGUGUGUGUGUAAAGAUCAAGCAGCAUAAGCUCCAUUUUCAGAAUCCCUUCUGUGUUCCACAGAGAGAUUUUUACAAAUUUACAUGCAGCAUACCUUUGUAUAGGCCACUUGCUGGUUUGGCUUUGAAAUGUAUAAUUUGUAUAAUUCUUUUCUGCAGUACAAAUCAGUGUCAUAUGUACCUAAAUAACAAUUUUCAAAAUUACAACUUAAGGCAUCUAAAUUUCUUCCUCAAAUCGUGUAUGCCAGUAAAGUGGAUGGAGUCAGUAACACUCGUCUCUUAACACAGGGAUUAUUUGAGCAGGCAGCUUAAUCCAAGUAAUGACAUCUAAUCCCUAAUAAAGCAAACAUUACAACACAGAGACACAGACAUACACCCACCCAGACCGUGCUGCGUCUGUGAUUUCAUUACGAGUCAAUGAGCAAACUGACCCCAACAUCUGUGUUUUCAUGCAUGCGACGCAUGCACUCUAGGUAUCAGUCUCUAUGGAUACCAGGUGGCUCCGAAUAAGAAUACAACCUCGUUACCAUAUUCAAACUGAGGGAAUAAAGCAGAGGGCACAAUGUGAAUGACUAGGGAGAAUUAAAAGACAUACACAAAGAAUGUACGACGCCGAUGAGGAACAUUUCUACAAACUCUAUAAAGCAAUAUAAAAGUGUAUAUGCAUAUGUACAUGUCAACACACACACACUUUUAGGGUGAAAAGCUGGUCUUAGGACUGAAGUGUCUGGUUGUUGGUCCGUCUAUCUCAUCCAUUAGCUACAUGCUGGGUUCUAAUCCUAACUGACAUGAAAAAAGCUCAGAGGAUGUGUAGUCACAGACACAGUUGGCACAAAUGGAUGUUUAAUAAGGAUAGGCAGCAUCUAUGACAGCUGCACUAUAUCAGAGAAACCUAAAACACGCACUAAAACUCCCUGACAGGCCAGUAUAUCAAAGAAGAAUUGAGAUAAAUGGACACACACAUGAGAAAGGUCAAUGAGUGGACACACAUAUGGCUCACACACUCGGCUCGCACACAUAUGCACUUCAUUAUGGACACAAACACACACUUACACUCCCAAGAGGUCAACUAAGGCACACUCACACACUCAUUCUAUCCCUAAACCUCCCCCAUGCACUUUAUUAAGCCACUUCAUUACAGUGUUGUUUUAGUAUUAUUUAUAAACUAUAAUUUAAAUUAAUUUUUUUAAUUUGAUUUAAAUAUUUAAAUAAAACACAUUUAUUUUUUAUUUUAUUACAUUCAAUUUUAGGCUUUUUU
Molecule: long non-coding RNA, 3735 nt
Organism: Cyprinus carpio carpio
Lineage: Eukaryota; Metazoa; Chordata; Actinopteri; Cypriniformes; Cyprinidae
Source: Ensembl